UGGGGAAUUUUGGACAAUGGGCGAAAGCCUGAUCCAGCAAUGCCGCGUGUGUGAAGAAGGCCUUCGGGUUGUAAAGCACUUUUGUCCGGAAAGAAAUGGCUCUGGUUAAUACCUGGGGUCGAUGACGGUACCGGAAGAAUAAGGACCGGCUAACUACGUGCCAGCAGCCGCGGUAAUACGUAGGGUCCAAGCGUUAAUCGGAAUUACUGGGCGUAAAGCGUGCGCAGGCGGUUGUGCAAGACCGAUGUGAAAUCCCCGAGCUUAACUUGGGAAUUGCAUUGGUGACUGCACGGCUAGAGUGUGUCAGAGGGGGGUAGAAUUCCACGUGUAGCAGUGAAAUGCGUAGAGAUGUGGAGGAAUACCGAUGGCGAAGGCAGCCCCCUGGGAUAACACUGACGCUCAUGCACGAAAGCGUGGGGUGCAAACAGGAUUAGAUACCCUGGUAGUCCACGCCCUAAACGAUGUCAACUAGUUGUUGGGGAUUCAUUUCCUUAGUAACGUAGCUAACGCGUGAAGUUGGACCGCCUGGGGAGUACGGUCGCAAG
This 545-nucleotide ribosomal RNA is filed under the name uncultured bacterium. RNAcentral describes it as "partial 16S ribosomal RNA". It matches the Rfam family "Bacterial small subunit ribosomal RNA", at positions 355 to 892 of the family's 1533-position model. The record is from RNAcentral.